UUAGAAAAUUCUCACUUUUUAGGCUAAGCUCGUAUUUGAAGAUACAAGUUGAGGUGUGUCUUGGGAUAGUGUGACUAAAAAACGAACCUUCAGUUUCUGCAAUCAGAAGAAAAGUGAGUGAUUUUUCAAUGAAAACAUAAUACUUCUGAGCAUAAGCAUGAUAAAGUGCAGCAACUGACUUGGCUUAUUGUUUUGGAAAUCGCAACCGGUACUCACCUAAUUGUUUUUGAGACCACUGGUGUUGUUACUGCCUCCAGAAGCUGCAAUCUAAAGCCUUCUAUAAGAAUAUCAUCACAGAGUAGAUCAAAAAGUUGGAGCGGCGAGAUAACAGUACUGAUUGAUUUUGAUAUGCUGAAAAUUUGCCAAAGUUGAGUCGCCAGGAACUUGAAGUAGCGUGUGAGGAUUUUAGCAACUUAAUUGGCUCAACUCCAGAGAAUGUAGUCUACAAAGGAACAAUGAAGGAUGGACCUGAGGUUUCUUUCAUAUCAUUAUUCCCCCUUGAAGGUCACUGGACUAGCCAGCAUGAGCUCUUUUACCAAAACAAGGUUAUUGAUAUGGCAAGGUUGAAUCAUGAGAACAUAGCAAAGUUUCUGGACUAUUGCAGAGAGAGUGACCCAUUCUCGAGGAUGUUAGUCUUUGAGUACGCAUCAAAUGGGACCCCAUGGGGAAGCGGCCCAAUUCUCUUGGCUCAGAUGAAUGAAAAUAGCCAUCGUCAUCGCCCAAAGUUUAAGGUAUCUGCACACCGAGUCACGGCCUACUAUCGCUAUAUCAGAGCUGAAAUCCAAUUCAGUAUACGUUACAGAAGAUUUUACCCCCAAGGCUGACGACAUCGUCUACUGAAGCCCCACCGGCGAUGUGACGAGAGAGCUCCAACCUGUACGUGGGUGUGGGGACGCAGAUCCGCGUCGCCAGCCUACACAAGGCCAUGGUCAAUGCGCCGACGGAGGGUUCAUCAUCCGGCUUCGUCAGGUGACUUUCCAUGCGAUUUCUACUUCUAAAAAUUAGAAAAUACCUUCAGAUCAAAGCAGUGGAUUUGUAGAUUUCUGGGUAUUGUUGCCACUCCAUCUCCAUCCAGCUUACGGUCUUUGGUCACUGAUUCUGAG
Triticum aestivum (bread wheat) is the source of this 1103-nucleotide long non-coding RNA. RefSeq lists it as uncharacterized. NCBI's taxonomy places the organism in Eukaryota, Viridiplantae, Streptophyta, Magnoliopsida, Poales, Poaceae. The transcript is spliced from 6 exons. The record is from RefSeq and is a predicted model, not a curated record.